This 778-nucleotide long non-coding RNA is filed under the name Equus caballus (horse). RNAcentral describes it as "lncRNA (ENSECAG00000059087.1)". Lineage: Eukaryota; Metazoa; Chordata; Mammalia; Perissodactyla; Equidae. The record is from RNAcentral.
UUAGGUAAUAAAGGGACAAUGGAGGUCAUAUGUUCCAGGUACCUCACUGGACAGAUGAGAAAGAGGCCAAAACCUCAAGCUGCCUCCAUGUUGUUACCAGUCCAGACGCUCACGUGGUUAGCAGCAAAGUAUGGACCAGAAGCAGUGCUGUGGGACUUAGGGGUCAAGCCAACCAAUCAUAACCUCACACAUAGGUUUUAUAGGACUCCCCACACUUGUGCUUUGUCCCCUCAGAAACCCUCUGCGGCAGGGAGGGCAGCCAUUACCAAGGCCAUUUACACGUGAGGAGACCGAGGUCAGCGAGUAGCUUUUUGAAGGCUUCCCCUUGGGACAGUGGACUUGGCUGGGUGCUCUUUCUGCUCCAAGGAAGUUAAGUAAUGACUCCUAAGUUCUUCAGGACUCACUAACUCCAAGACCAUUGCAAGCUGCUGUGAUUCCUAUGAGUUUUGGAGUGAGAAUAGAGUGGAGGAAAGUAAGAGUAGAAACAAGGAGACCAGUUAGGAGUCCUUGAUAAUCCAGAAUGUUUCAGAAGUGAUGCUGUGCCACUUCCAGCCUGCACAUCAACAGGUUUUAUACGCUUCCUUUUGGUUUCUUGGGACUCUGCAACCUCCAUGUAAGGAAGGCCAGGCUAGCUUGUUGGAGGACAAGAAACCACAAUAACAUCCCAGCAGAGGCCACCUGAAACCAUCCCAGAUGCAUGAGCAAGCAGAGUUGAGAAAAACCAAGCCUAGCCCAGAUAAGCAGAACUACCCAGUUGACCCAUAGAUUUAUAAGCCAA